GCGGCAAUGACUUUGGGGAGUUCCCAUACGUGGUUGCUGAUAUAUAGCCCUCAGGUGCUGAACCAUUCACCAAGUGCAAAUUGUUUCCAAUCAUUCCAAGUCCCCCUCCAUUAAGAGGCCCAGUUGACUGUCCAUAGGAUCUAUUCUGAAAUCCUGACCUGAUUCCACCACCCACAUGGCUGCCAACUGUAUGGAGUAUACGGCUGUUUUGAGCAGCAACAUGCUGCUUUUGUUGCAGAGGCUGUGAAACAUUCAUGGAAUCAACACUAGGAAGUGCAGCAAUACUAUUGGUUGAGUCCAAAUUCAGGGAAGACUGUGUGUUAGUGUUGCUAUUCAAAUUAGCACCACCACU
This 352-nucleotide unclassified non-coding RNA is filed under the name Hevea brasiliensis (rubber tree). Lineage: Eukaryota; Viridiplantae; Streptophyta; Magnoliopsida; Malpighiales; Euphorbiaceae. The record is from RNAcentral.